This 40-nucleotide ribosomal RNA is filed under the name Nitrospirillum amazonense. Its description in RNAcentral is "partial 16S ribosomal RNA". The record is from RNAcentral. Lineage: Bacteria; Pseudomonadati; Pseudomonadota; Alphaproteobacteria; Rhodospirillales; Azospirillaceae.
UUGAACCUGAGAGUUUGAUCCUGGCUCAGAACGAACGCUG